GACGAACGCUGGCGGCGUGCUUAACACAUGCAAGUCGAACGGAAAGGCCUCUUUCGGGGGGUACUCGAGUGGCGAACGGGUGAGUAACACGUGAGUAACCUGCCCUUGACUUUGGGAUAACUUCAGGAAACUGGGGCUAAUACCGGAUAGGAGCUACUGCUGCAGGGUGGGGGUUGGAAAGUUUCGGCGGUUGGGGGUGGACUCGCGGCUUAUCAGCUUGUUGGUGGGGUAGUGGCUUACCAAGGCUUUGACGGGUAGCCGGACUGUGAGGGUGACGGGCCACAUUGGGACUGAGAUACGGCCCAGACUCCGACGGGAGGCAGCAGGGGGGAAGAUUGCACAAUGGGUGGAAGCCUGAUGCAGCAACGCCGUGUGCGGGAUGACGGCCUUCGGGUUGUAAAACGCUUUCGCUCAUGACGAAGCUUUGUGUGACGGUAGUGGGUAAAGAAGCACCGGCUAACUACGUG
Molecule: ribosomal RNA, 467 nt
Filed under: uncultured bacterium
Lineage: Bacteria
Description: partial 16S ribosomal RNA
Rfam family: Bacterial small subunit ribosomal RNA
Source: RNAcentral